Molecule: long non-coding RNA, 2122 nt
Filed under: Papio anubis (olive baboon)
Lineage: Eukaryota; Metazoa; Chordata; Mammalia; Primates; Cercopithecidae
Description: lncRNA (ENSPANG00000037123.1)
Source: RNAcentral
ACCUCAUCACGCCUGGCUAAUUUUUUUUGUAUUUUUUGUAGAGACAGUGCUUCGCCGUGUUGCCCAGGCUGGUCUCAACCUCCUGAACUCAAGUGAUCCUCCCACACCUGCCUCUCAAAGUGUUGGGAUAUAGACAUGAGCCACCUUGCCCAGCUGACAGUUGACAUAUGAAGAGCUGGUAAAGGAAGCAUAGGACCUGGAGAAUCUCUUUCUGAUCUGAUUUGAGAAUUAUUUUUAUAUUAGGUGGGGUAAAAGCUGAGCUGUCAUAACACAGACUCAACAGUACAGAAGUUUAAAAGAUGAAGAAGUUUCUUUUGUACAACCAUCCAAAAUAAAUGUUCCAGGUGCAGCCUAUUCUGUUCCACAGUUAUUUAAGGACACAGGUUCCUUUCAAGUCAUUGCUCUGUCCUCCCCUGCCCCCUGUUCUCUGGGGGAAUUGUCAUCUGCAUGGCUGAAGCUGAUUAUAGAGGCAUGUCUAAGUUUCCACUUGUGAGAAGGGGAAAAAGCAUGGACGAGACAUGCCCACUCCCUGAAGGCCUGGGUUCCUCAUUGCUUGGUCAUGAUCCACUGGACUGAACACCCUACCUAACUGCAAGAGUCGCUGGAAAAUGUAGUCUAGACUGUGCUCAGGAAGAAGUGGAAAAUGAAUUUCAGUGAACUAAUGGCACUCUCCACUGUACUCUCCUUUCCUUUUCUCACUUUUUUUUUUUUCCCAGAAAGAGUUUCACUCUUGUUGCCCAGGCUGGAGUGCAGUGGCACGCUCUCGGCUCACUGCAACCUCUGCCUCCCGGGUUCAAGCGAUUCUCCUGCCUCAGCCUCCUGAGUAGCUGGAACUACAGGUGCCCGCCACCACACCCAGCUAAUUUUUGUAUUUUUAGUAGAGACGGGGUUUCUCCAUGUUGGCCAGGAUGGUCUCCAUCUCUUGACCUUGUGAUCUGCCCGCCUUGGCCUCCCAAAGUGUCGAGAUUACUGGUAUGAGCCACCACCCCUGGCCGAUAAUCUGUUUUAACCAGGUCCCCAGAUGGUUCUCAUGUACUGUAAUUAUCUGCUCAGGGUAUCAUAACAAAAUACCAUAGACUGGGUGACUCGGACAGCAGAAAUUUAUGUUCUCACACUUCUGUAGGCUGGAAGUUCAAGAUCAGGGUGCUAGCGUGGUCAGGGGUGGAGGAGGGCCCUCUUCCUGGCUUGCAGCAGGUCACCUUCUGACCAUGUCCUCACAUGGCAGAGAGAGAGAGAAAGAUUUCUCUCUCUUUUCCUCUCCUUAGAAGGCCAUAGUCCUGUUGGAUUAGGUCCCCACUCUUCAUUUGACCUUAAUUAUUUCCUAAAGACCUUGUCUCCAGAUGUCCCCUUGGAGAAUAGGGCUUACACAUAUUAAUUUGGGACUGGGAUAUAAUUCAGUCCUUAGCUUGUACAUUGCUUUUGAGCAGCGCUGAGUUAAUAUUAGUAAUUCUCAAACUUCAGCAUGCAUGAAAAUCACCUGGAGGAAUUGAAACCCAGAGUCUUGGGGCUUCAUGGAUUCUUAUUCGGUUGUUCUGAAUCUGAUUCAAUAGUUUCACCUGAGGGUUUUCAUUUCUAAGAAGCUUCUCGAUGCUGAUAUUGCCAUUCCAUGGGCCAUACUUUGAGUAGCACCAAAUUAGACAAUAAAUUUGGGUAACCAAUUUUCAAAAAAGUAAAAUAUCAUAAGGUAGUCUAAACUUAGUCUUUUAAAAAUUCAGUUGUUCUGAAGAUGUUUCAUAUUUAUAAUUUUAUUUUAUUUUAUUUUUGAGAUGGAGUCUCACUCUGUCACCCAGGCUGGAGUGCAGUGGCACCAUCUCUGCUCACUGCAAGCUCAGCCUCCCAGGUUCACGCCAUUCUCCUGCCUCAGCCUCCCAAGUAGCUGGGACUACAGGUGCCCGCCACCACGCCCGGCCAAUUUUUUGUAUUUUUAGUAGAGACGGGGUUUCACCAUGUUAGCCAGGAUGGUCUCGAUCUCCUGACCUCUUGAUCUGCCCUUCUCAGCCUCCCAAAGUGCUGGGAUUACAGGCGUGAGCAUUUAUACAAUUUUUAAAUAUCAUUUAUUUUUAAAUUAUAUGCAAUCGUGCUGCAUAAUGACAUUUUGUUCAUAGAUAGACAUGCUAGGGUG